RNAcentral lists this unclassified non-coding RNA (190 nucleotides) under uncultured Rozellomycota. RNAcentral describes it as "uncultured Cryptomycota sequence contains ITS2". Lineage: Eukaryota; Fungi; Rozellomycota. The record is from RNAcentral.
AACAAGAUCAACUCUAGUUGAGAGUUGGGCGUGGCCUUAUACGCAAAAGUGUAUUUGGCUUGAUUACAUCGAGUUGAUGAGCUUCCCAGUGCGGCUCAAUGUGUGCUAGCGAGACAGUCGUCCCGAUCUCACAUUAAUGUCGCAUUGCAGAGUUCUGUCCACAGCUCGCUAAACUUUUUAUUCAUUGCAU